Nicotiana tabacum (common tobacco) is the source of this 1138-nucleotide non-coding RNA. NCBI's taxonomy places the organism in Eukaryota, Viridiplantae, Streptophyta, Magnoliopsida, Solanales, Solanaceae. The record is from RefSeq and is a predicted model, not a curated record.
CUAAACAAAUGUUGGUCACACAGAACAGAGUGGAGACUAUGCCGUUCAAAAUGAAUUGAGUCAAAAAGGUAUAGACGAACAGUCAGAUCCAUUGGAGGUACAUGUUUAACAGCUCCGUUACUUGCUUUAGCCAAACAAGUGGCGUCCUUGCUAGAAAUUAAUACAGUUGAGGUAUACUUUUGAGCUUAAUGACUUGCUUACUCUUCAUGCCACAAUAUUGAGUAAUUUUACAAUGAAAAUGUUAUAUUAGUUGAUAAGUGUUUAAAUCUAACUAUAUAACGUAUAAUGCAAAUAAAAAAACAUGGGUGAAGGAGGAUAUAAUAUCUAGAGAGAAUAUGAAUUAAGGAAAAGGUAACUGUACCUGGUUUAUUUUUUCUAUGAAGGUAUCAGUAACUUGAUUGGUAAUGAUAAACCUUGCACAAUGUAUACUCAAGCAUUUGCACAACUCAGAUGGCAUUACUAUUAGUCGUAAAAACUUCUUCUUGAAGGAAACUUUUGCUUGAUGCCAAAUCUGAAAUUUCGUGGUACUUAAGAUGAGCAUUAAGAUGUUUUUCUUUAUCUUUGGAAUAAAUUUGUAGUACGCAGAAGGUGCUUUUGGUCUAAAGUUUGAUGAGAAAAUAGUUUUUUGCUCAGUAAGUAUAUCUUUGUACAGUAAUAAAGAUUAGAUAUAUCAGUUGUGAAUUUCAGAUAUUGCGGCAUACAUUUUGUCAAUCAAAUGGUUGGAGGCUUCAUCUUUUUUGAUUUUUUUGAGGAUUAUAUUCAGGUGUGUGCUUAUGCCAAAAUGAUUUUGUGAAUUGAAACAAAAUUGACAUUUUUAAAAUAUCAUUUCGUGCACUAUUACCUUUUUCUUCUAUAAUCUGAAGUGAUUAUUUUUAAAUAGGAAACGGAAAAGAUUGGAAUGUUUGACGAGAGAUUUUAUGGUAUUUAAAGGUAUACAAACAAGAAAGAGCACCAACAGCACUCUGGAAAAAAAGAAGAGUGACAAGGACUAUUUCAGAGUAUGGUAUAGUACUGACAAAGCAAUCGAUAAUCCAUAGUCUAUAAUUUGAAUGAAGGUAUAUGUGAUCGGGACAGUGGGUUCCUCAUGGUGGGUCAACUAUGAGAAUAUUUUUGUUUAUAACUGAGAAUGUGUUGUACA